GACGAACGCUGGCGGCGUGCCUAAUACAUGCAAGUAGAACGCACAGUUUAUACCGUAGCUUGCUACACCAUAAACUGUGAGUUGCGAACGGGUGAGUAACGCGUAGGUAACCUGCCUGGUAGCGGGGGGUAACUAUUGGAAACGCUAGCUAAUACCGCAUGAUAUUGAUUAUUGCAUGAUAAUUGAUUGCAAGAUGCUAUUGCAUCACUACCAGAUGGACCUGCGUUGUAUUAGCUAGUAGGUGAGGUAACGGCUCACCUACGCGACGAUACAUAGCCGACCUGAGAGGGUGAUCGGCCACACUGGGACUGAGACACGGCCCAGACUCCUACGGGAGGCAGCAGUAGGGAAUCGUCGGCAAUGGACGAAAGUCUGUCCGAGCAACGCCGCGUGAGUGAAGAAGGUUUUCGGAUCGUAAAGCUCGGUUGUAAGAGAAGAACGGGUGUGAGAGUGGAAAGUUCACACUGUGACGGUAUCUUACCAGAAAGGGACGGCUAACUACGUG
Molecule: ribosomal RNA, 505 nt
Filed under: uncultured bacterium
Lineage: Bacteria
Description: partial 16S ribosomal RNA
Rfam family: Bacterial small subunit ribosomal RNA
Source: RNAcentral